CUUAGCAUAUCAAUAAGCGGAGGAAAAGAAACCAACAGGGAUUGCCCCAGUAACGGCGAGUGAAGCGGCAAUAGCUCAAAUUUGAAAUCUGGCUCUUUCAGGGUCCGAGUUGUAAUUUGCAGAGGGCGCUUUGGUGUCGGCAGCGGCCUAAGUUCCUUGGAACAGGUCAUCAUAGAGGGUGAGAAUCCCGUAUGUGGCUGCUUGUCUUCACCGUGUAAAGCCCCUUCGAUGAGUCGAGUUGUUUGGGAAUGCAGCUCUAAAUGGGAGGUAAAUUUCUUCUAAAGCUAAAUAUUGGCCAGAGACCGAUAGCGCACAAGUAGAGUGAUCGAAAGAUGAAAAGCACUUUGGAAAGAGAGUCAAAAAGCACGUGAAAUUGUUGAAAGGGAAGCGCUUGCAGCCAGACGUGCCCGUAGUUGCUCAUCUGGGGAUUUCCCCAGUGCACUCUUCUAUGGGCAGGCCAGCAUCAGUUCGGGCGGUUGGAGAAAGACCUGUGUCACGUAGCUCUCUUCGGGGAGUGUUAUAGGGCAGGUGGAAUGCAACCAGCCUGGACUGAGGUCCGCGCAUCUUGCUAGGAUGCUGGCGUAAUGGCUGUAAGCGGCCCGUCUUGAAACACGGACCAAGGAGUCUAACAUCUAUGCGAGUGUUUGGGUGUCAAGCCCGAGCGCGUAAUGAAAGUGAACGGAGGUGGGAACCCCUCGGGGUGCACCAUCGACCGAUCCUGAUGUCUUCGGAUGGAUUUGAGUAAGAGCAUAGCUGUUGGGACCCGAAAGAUGGUGAACUAUGCCUGAAUAGGGUGAAGCCAGAGGAAACUCUGGUGGAGGCUCGCAGCGGUUCUGACGUGCAAAUCGAUCGUCAAAUUUGGGCAUAGGGGCGAAAGACUAAUCGAACUAUCUAGUAGCUGGUUCCUGCCG
This 911-nucleotide ribosomal RNA is filed under the name Melanomma pulvis-pyrius. RNAcentral's name for it is "eukaryotic LSU rRNA". It matches the Rfam family "Eukaryotic large subunit ribosomal RNA", at positions 33 to 963 of the family's 3401-position model. The record is from RNAcentral. Lineage: Eukaryota; Fungi; Ascomycota; Dothideomycetes; Pleosporales; Melanommataceae.